This 645-nucleotide ribosomal RNA is filed under the name uncultured bacterium. RNAcentral describes it as "bacterial SSU rRNA". It matches the Rfam family "Bacterial small subunit ribosomal RNA", at positions 188 to 851 of the family's 1533-position model. The record is from RNAcentral.
CAUCGGGUUGAGGGAAAAGGAGCAAUCCGCUUUGAGAUGGCCUCGCGUCCGAUUAGCUAGUUGGUGAGGUAACGGCCCACCAAGGCGACGAUCGGUAGCCGGACUGAGAGGUUGAACGGCCACAUUGGGACUGAGACACGGCCCAGACUCCUACGGGAGGCAGCAGUGGGGAAUAUUGCACAAUGGGGGAAACCCUGAUGCAGCGACGCCGCGUGGAGGAAGAAGGUCUUCGGAUUGUAAACUCCUGUUGUUGAGGAAGAUAAUGACGGUACUCAACAAGGAAGUGACGGCUAACUACGUGCCAGCAGCCGCGGUAAAACGUAGGUCACAAGCGUUGUCCGGAAUUACUGGGUGUAAAGGGAGCGCAGGCGGGAAGACAAGUUGGAAGUGAAAUCCAUGGGCUCAACCCAUGAACUGCUUUCAAAACUGUUUUUCUUGAGUAGUGCAGAGGUAGGCGGAAUUCCCGGUGUAGCGGUGGAAUGCGUAGAUAUCGGGAGGAACACCAGUGGCGAAGGCGGCCUACUGGGCACCAACUGACGCUGAGGCUCGAAAGUGUGGGUAGCAAACAGGAUUAGAUACCCUGGUAGUCCACACUGUAAACGAUGAUUACGAGGUGUUGGAGGAUUGACCCCUUCAGUGCCGCAG